UGCCUAUAGUGUUCUAGAGGCUGUAUGUUCAUUAACUCCUGUCCUCACAACAAGCCUGUGAGCUGUGGACUAUUGUCUUCAAGUCACAGGUGGAGCUACGGGGGCUCAAAGACACUGAGUAACUUACUAGGCAGCUGCUAAGCAAAGGGCCAAGGCAGUUGAACCGCAAAGCAUAUCGUGUGCAGCAACAGAUCUUGGCAAUCAUUAAGGUAAACAGGGAGUGUCAACCAUUAAUGAAGGGUCAUCCAGUUUGAAGGAGAGUUUGCCUUUGCCUGAAGACCCUGCUAAUUCUGUGGCCUGAGCAGCUGUGAAGAAGUGAAGUCAACAGAAACCAAUCCCCUGGCUUCUGCUCUUCCCCAUAGCCCAAGCUCACUGCCAGAGUGUCAGAGCCUUGGCUUCCCUUGACCAGACACAGGAAGACCCUAAUUCCUGGGGUUCGAGGAAUGGUACUAUGGUUCACUGAUGUCUGAUCGGUGCACAAACAGAAGGUAUGCUUGCAAAUGAUUCCAGAAAGUUCUGCAUCUUUUCACUAGACCAAGUAGCAAAGUGAAGAAAAUGAAGUGGAAAGUAGGAAUUUGGGGUCUCCUGUCCUAAUGUUGCUUGUUUCAGCCAAUACAGCCUGACGUCCAUUUCCUGAUCCUUCUGUUCUUGCGGGAACCAUUCCCAGGUCUUCCAAACAGGAAUCUUCUGAUCUCUCAUCCACCCCCUCAAACUGAUGAGCCAAUAAAACAUGUAAACCUGGCCCCAAAUAGAAGCCCUGGUGUUCACCGUCUCUGUUUACUCUUUGGACUCCUCCGCCCUUCCCUCCUUGGGCCUCAGCCAAGUUUGCCAACGGUAGCACCAUGAAUGCUUCAUCUAGAAUCCCCCUGCCUCAGCCAUCACAACCACUAUCCCUGCUAUGUCCCCAAACCACCCAGCACUACCAAGUCAAAACCUAGGGAAAUGCCGGCUGCCAAUGACACCCUGAAGGUCCAAGCUUCUGCUGAGAAGCGCUGCUCAUAGGAGCAGUGGUGGGCUGGCCAGGUUGGAAAACUCAGAUGUUUUUGUUUCUACUCCACAUGCCCCCGCCAACCCUGCUACAAAUUAUAGGGCUGAUUCCUUGGCCAAUUCAGAUCUCUGGAAUCCCUUGUCUUCUGCCUGAAGCCCCUCAUCUCCCUGUCCACGAACAUCCACCCAUCCUGUGGUGGAUAGGGAGCCAGAAUAUGUGUUACAGGGAUUCCUGGACAGCUCUCCACCAGUGUGGAUUCUAGCACCUGGUCAGGGGAGAAAACUGUGGGCCCGAGAUGCACCCAUAAGAGCUGACGCCUGGGUGGUUCAGCGGUUGAGCAUCUGCCUUCGA
Canis lupus familiaris (dog) is the source of this 1339-nucleotide long non-coding RNA. RefSeq lists it as uncharacterized. The transcript has 4 exons. Lineage: Eukaryota; Metazoa; Chordata; Mammalia; Carnivora; Canidae. The record is from RefSeq and is a predicted model, not a curated record.